Molecule: ribosomal RNA, 427 nt
Filed under: uncultured bacterium
Lineage: Bacteria
Description: bacterial SSU rRNA
Rfam family: Bacterial small subunit ribosomal RNA
Source: RNAcentral
UGGGGAAUUUUGGACAAUGGACGCAAGUCUGAUCCAGCCAUGCCGCGUGCGGGAAGAAGGCCUUCGGGUUGUAAACCGCUUUUGUCAGGGAAGAAACGCUCUGGGCUAAUACCCUGGGGUGAUGACGGUACCUGAAGAAUAAGCACCGGCUAACUACGUGCCAGCAGCCGCGGUAAUACGUAGGGUGCAAGCGUUAAUCGGAAUUACUGGGCGUAAAGCGUGCGCAGGCGGUUAUGCAAGACAGAGGUGAAAUCCCCGGGCUCAACCUGGGAACUGCCUUUGUGACUGCAUAGCUAGAGUACGGUAGAGGGGGAUGGAAUUCCGCGUGUAGCAGUGAAAUGCGUAGAUAUGCGGAGGAACACCGAUGGCGAAGGCAAUCCCCUGGACCUGUACUGACGCUCAUGCACGAAAGCGUGGGGAGCAAACA